Oncorhynchus tshawytscha (Chinook salmon) is the source of this 1132-nucleotide long non-coding RNA. NCBI's taxonomy places the organism in Eukaryota, Metazoa, Chordata, Actinopteri, Salmoniformes, Salmonidae. The record is from Ensembl.
GCCUAACAGAGGGGAGAGGACAGUGGUGGUAGUAGACUAACAUUAGAGGGGAGAGGACAGUGGGUGGUGGUAGACUAACAGGGGAGAGGACAGUGGGUGGUGGUAGACUAACAUUAGAGGGAGAGAACAGUGGGUGGUGGUAGACUAACAUUAGAGGGAGAGGACAGUGGGUGGUGGUAGACUAACAGAGGGGAGAGGACAGUGGGUGGUGGUAGACUAAUAUUAGAGGGGAGAGGACAGUGGGUGGUGGUAGACUAACAUUAGAGGGAGAGGACAGUGGGUGGUGGUAGACUAAUAUUAGAGGGAGAGGACAGUGGGUGGUGGUAGACUAAUAUUAGAGGGAGAGGACAGUGGGUGGUGGUAGACUAACAGAGGGGAGAGGACAGUGGGUGGUAGUAGACUAACAUUAGAGGGAGAGGAUAGUGGGUGGUGGUAGACUAACAGAGGGGAGAGGACAGUGGGUGGUGGUAGACUAACAGAGAGGAGAGGACAGUGGGUGGUGGUAGACUAAUAUUAGAGGGGAGAGGACAGUGGGUGGUGGUAGACUAACAUUAGAGGGGAGAGGACAGUGGGUGGUGGUAGACUAACAGAGGGGAGAGGACAGUGGGUGGUGGUAGACUAACAUUAGAGGGGAGAGGACAGUGGGUGGUGGUAGACUAACAGGGGAGAGGACAGUGGGUGGUGGUAGACUAACAUUAGAGGGAGAGGACAGUGGGUGGUGGUAGACUAACAUUAGAGGGGAGAGGACAGUGGGUGGUGGUAGACUAACAUUAGAGGGGAGAGGACAGUGGGUGGUGGUAGACAGACAACAUUAGAGGGAGAGGACAGUGGGUGGUGGUAGACUAACAGAGAGGAGAGGACAGUGGGUGGUGGUAGACUAACAUUAGAGGGAGAGGACAGUGGGUGGUGGUAGACUAACAUUAGAGGGAGAGGACAGUGGGUGGUGGUAGACUAACAGAGGGAGAGGACAGUGGGUGGUGGUAGACUAACAUUAGAGGGAGAGGACAGUGGGUGGUGGUAGACUAAUAUUAGAGGGAGAGGACAGUGGGUGGUGGUAGACUAACAUUAGAGGGAGAGGACAGUGGGUGGUGGUAGACUAACAGGACAACAGGAGAUCAGGAAAACAGGAAAA